This 960-nucleotide ribosomal RNA is filed under the name uncultured bacterium. RNAcentral describes it as "bacterial SSU rRNA". It matches the Rfam family "Bacterial small subunit ribosomal RNA", at positions 1 to 967 of the family's 1533-position model. The record is from RNAcentral.
CCCCUUAGAGUUUGAUCAUGGCUCAGAUUGAACGCUGGCGGCAUGCCUUACACAUGCAAGUCGAACGGUAACAGGUCUUCGGAUGCUGACGAGUGGCGAACGGGUGAGUAAUACAUCGGAACGUGCCCGAUCGUGGGGGAUAACGCAGCGAAAGCUGUGCUAAUACCGCAUACGAUCUACGGAUGAAAGCGGGGGAUCGCAAGACCUCGCGCGGACGGAGCGGCCGAUGGCAUAUUAGGUAGUUGGUGGGAUAAAAGCUUACCAAGCCGACGAUCUGUAGCUGGUCUGAGAGGACGACCAGCCACACUGGGACUGAGACACGGCCCACACUCCUACGGGAGGCAGCAGUGGGGAAUUUUGGACAAUGGGCGCAAGCCUGAUCCAGCCAUGCCGCGUGCAGGAUGAAGGCCUUCGGGUUGUAAACUGCUUUUGUACGGAACAAAAAACCUCUCUCUAAUACGGGGGGUGAAUGACGGUACCGUAAGAAUAAGCACCGGCUAACUACGUGCCAGCAGCCGCGGUAAUACGUAGGGUGCAAGCGUUAAUCGGAAUUACUGGGCGUAAAGCGUGCGCAGGCGGUUAUAUAAGACAGAGGUGAACUCCCCGGGCUCAACCUGAGAACUGCCUUUGUGACUGCAUAGCUGGAGUGCGGCAGAGGGGGAUGGAAUUCCGCGUGUAGCAGUGAAAUGCGUAGAUAUGCGGAGGAACACCGAUGGCGAACGCAAUCCCCCUGGGCCUGCACUGACGCUCAUGCACGAGAGCGUGGAGAGCAAACAGGAUUAGAUACCCCUGUAGUCCCACGCCCUAACGAUGUCCAACUGGGUGGUUGCGUCUUCACUGACUCAGUAACGAGCUACGCGUGAGUCGACCCGCCUGGAGAGUACCGGCCGCAGGUUAAACUCAAGUAUGACGCACCGCCACGGGAGGAAUGAGUGUUUUAAUUCGGAUGGCACGCGUACA